RNAcentral lists this transfer RNA (68 nucleotides) under Marmota monax (woodchuck). Its description in RNAcentral is "tRNA.Ala". Lineage: Eukaryota; Metazoa; Chordata; Mammalia; Rodentia; Sciuridae. The record is from RNAcentral.
GGCUUGUGGCUCAGCGGUAGAGCACGACCCUAGCACGUGUGAGGUACUGGGUUCAAUCCUCAACACUA